UACGUAGGGUGCGAGCGUUGUCCGGAAUUAUUGGGCGUAAAGAGCUCGUAGGCGGUCUGUCGCGUCGGUCGUGAAAACUUGGGGCUUAACCCUGAGCUUGCGGUCGAUACGGGCAUGACUGGAGUUCGGUAGGGGAGACUGGAAUUCCUGGUGUAGCGGUGAAAUGCGCAGAUAUCGGGAGGAACACCGGUGGCGAAGGCGGUUCUCUGGGCCUGUACUGACGCUGAGGAGCGAAAGCGUGGGGAGCGAACAGG
This 254-nucleotide ribosomal RNA is filed under the name uncultured bacterium. RNAcentral describes it as "partial 16S ribosomal RNA". It matches the Rfam family "Bacterial small subunit ribosomal RNA", at positions 524 to 776 of the family's 1533-position model. The record is from RNAcentral.